This 70-nucleotide transfer RNA is filed under the name Loxodonta africana (African savanna elephant). It matches the Rfam family "tRNA". From Rfam's summary of the family: Transfer RNA (tRNA) molecules are approximately 80 nucleotides in length. The record is from Rfam by way of RNAcentral. Lineage: Eukaryota; Metazoa; Chordata; Mammalia; Proboscidea; Elephantidae.
GCAGUGGUAGUUCAGUGGUAGAAUUCUCAUUUUUCAUGCAGGAGCCUGGGUUCAAUUCCAAGCCAACGCA